RNAcentral lists this ribosomal RNA (477 nucleotides) under Triticum aestivum (bread wheat). RNAcentral describes it as "partial small subunit ribosomal RNA". Lineage: Eukaryota; Viridiplantae; Streptophyta; Magnoliopsida; Poales; Poaceae. The record is from RNAcentral.
AUGGACAUCAAUAGAGCACCCGGCCCCGAUAAUAUUCCUGCAGAGUUCUAUCAACAUUGUUGGGACAUUGUCAAAAAUGACAUUAUGAUGAUUUUUGAGCACUUCCAUGAUGGGACGCUUGACGUGCAGCGUCUAAAUUAUGGGAUUAUCACUCUUCCUAAAGUGUCGGGCGUCGAGCGCAUCCAACAGUUCCGACCUAUCUGCCUCCUAAGAUGUCCCUAUAAGCUGCUUACUAAAGCUAUGGAUCGGACAGUUGAAAAAUAUGCUGAUAAACUGAUCAGUCUCUCGCAAAACGCGUUUGUGAAAGGUAGGAACAUAAUGGAUGGGAUCAUGACGCUUCAUGAGCUCCUUAAUUACACUCAUGUUAAAAAGAGAACUGCAGUUGUGCUCAAAUUGGAUUUUGAAAAUGCAUACGAUAAAGUUAACUGGGGAUUUCUUCUGGAAUGUCACAAGUUGAGGGGUUUCAAUGAAACCUAG